Odocoileus virginianus texanus is the source of this 276-nucleotide non-coding RNA. The record is from RefSeq and is a predicted model, not a curated record. Lineage: Eukaryota; Metazoa; Chordata; Mammalia; Artiodactyla; Cervidae.
AAAAAAACACAUCUAGACCUUUCUAGGAACCCUAGAGUGAAGAUUGACCUCUUCAGAUUCUGCACAAAUGGACUAAGAAAAGGAGCGGAAGAUUUGUGGAGGUCUGGGAAGACUUGCCUUUGGUGAUGAGAGUGUUAACUUAGGCAGGUUGAUAAGAAGUCCAAGCCUAAGUCCCAUUUAAGGAGAAGGGCCUCAUUACUCUUCAAAGUUUACAGCAGUGUCAGCAGCAUAAACAGCAUCAACUUAACACUUACAGAAGGCUCCCAAUGUAUCAAG